This 440-nucleotide ribosomal RNA is filed under the name uncultured bacterium. RNAcentral's name for it is "partial 16S ribosomal RNA". It matches the Rfam family "Bacterial small subunit ribosomal RNA", at positions 29 to 507 of the family's 1533-position model. The record is from RNAcentral.
AACGAACGCUGGCGGCAGGCUUAACACAUGCAAGUCGAACGCAUGCCUUCGGGCAUGAGUGGCAGACGGGUGAGUAACGCGUGGGAACCUACCCCUUGGUACGGGAUAGCUCCGGGAAACUGGAGAUAAUACCGUAUGUGUCCUGAGGGACAAAGAUUCAUCGCCAAGGGAUGGGCCCGCGGCGGAUUAGCUAGUUGGUGGGGUAACGGCCUACCAAGGCGACGAUCCGUAGCUGGUCUAAGAGGAUGAUCAGCCACAUUGGGACUGAGACACGGCCCAAACGAAGAUGCGAGGGAGCAGUGCAGUAGGUAGUAGAAUGGAGGGAAGCGUGAUGAAGAAAUGUCGUGGGCGGGAUGAAGGAAUUAGGGUAGUAAAGCGAGUGCGCAGGGGACGAAGCGCGAGUGACGGUAAUGGGUAAAGAAGCACAGGCGAGAUACGUG